GCGUCGGUAGUGUAACGGUUAACAUUGGGUCUUCCCAUAUAUAAUCAGUGUAUGAUGAAUUGGCCUAGCUCCGGGUUCGACUCCCGGCCGACGCA
Fistulina hepatica ATCC 64428 is the source of this 95-nucleotide non-coding RNA. NCBI's taxonomy places the organism in Eukaryota, Fungi, Basidiomycota, Agaricomycetes, Agaricales, Fistulinaceae. The record is from the annotation of a GenBank genome assembly.